This 399-nucleotide ribosomal RNA is filed under the name uncultured bacterium. Its description in RNAcentral is "partial 16S ribosomal RNA". It matches the Rfam family "Bacterial small subunit ribosomal RNA", at positions 360 to 776 of the family's 1533-position model. The record is from RNAcentral.
AAUAUUGCACAAUGGGCGAAAGCCUGAUGCAGCAACGCCGCGUGAGUGAUGAAGGCCUUCGGGUUGUAAAGCCCUGUCUUCUGGGACGAUAAUGACGGUACCAGAGGAGGAAGCCACGGCUAACUACGUGCCAGCAGCCGCGGUAAUACGUAGGUGGCAAGCGUUGUCCGGAAGUACUGGGCGUAAAGGAUGCGUAGGCGGAUACUUAAGUCAGAUGUGAAAAUCCCGGGCUUAACUUGGGAACUGCAUUUGAAACUGGGUAUCUAGAGUGCGGGAGAGGAAAGUGGAAUUCAUAGUGUAGCGGUGAAAUGCGUAGAGAUUAGGAAGAACACCAGUGGCGAAGGCGACUUUCUGGACCUUAACUGACGCUGAGGCAUGAAAGCGUGGGGAGCAAACAGG